RNAcentral lists this non-coding RNA (91 nucleotides) under Pseudomonas sp. SJZ094. Lineage: Bacteria; Pseudomonadati; Pseudomonadota; Gammaproteobacteria; Pseudomonadales; Pseudomonadaceae. The record is from RNAcentral. RNAcentral also lists the same sequence under 1 other name.
UUUUAUGGCGGUUGUGCGUGGGAGACCUUCGGGUCUGCCGGGUUCUGGUAAUAAUCCCCGGUCUGCGAACCCGCGCACAGCUGCCACCCCC